RNAcentral lists this small RNA (261 nucleotides) under Drosophila guanche. Lineage: Eukaryota; Metazoa; Arthropoda; Insecta; Diptera; Drosophilidae. The record is from RNAcentral.
GCUACGUUCUCGCUCUCGCUCACGCUCCUGCUGCUCGAGCCGGAGACGUGCACGCUCCACACGCGCCAGUGUGGGGCUAUCGAGUAUCGAAGGGGCACGCGAGGGUGGACGCGAAUUGUUUGCAGCAUUCGUGUGCAACUGCUGCAGUUGAUGCUGCAGCUGCUGCUGCUGUUGCUGCUGCUGGUGGUGCAGCGUCUCGAGUGUGGCACUGUUGUUGGAGGAGGUCGACCCUGGUGUGGGCGUGGCCGAUGACGAGGAGUU